AAGAGAAUGUAGAAUCUAAUAAGAGCUUCUAACUCCUUAUUAAAGCGGUUAAAUUCCGUUUUUCUCUUU
This 69-nucleotide transfer RNA is filed under the name Hyalopeplus sp. Its description in RNAcentral is "tRNA-Ser". Lineage: Eukaryota; Metazoa; Arthropoda; Insecta; Hemiptera; Miridae. The record is from RNAcentral.